Molecule: non-coding RNA, 45 nt
Filed under: Schistosoma haematobium
Lineage: Eukaryota; Metazoa; Platyhelminthes; Trematoda; Strigeidida; Schistosomatidae
Source: RNAcentral
ACCUUACUGACGAGUGCCAAAUAGAACGAAACCCAGGUUCAGGGU